Molecule: ribosomal RNA, 729 nt
Filed under: Triticum aestivum (bread wheat)
Lineage: Eukaryota; Viridiplantae; Streptophyta; Magnoliopsida; Poales; Poaceae
Description: partial small subunit ribosomal RNA
Source: RNAcentral
AUGACGAUCGGGACAUCUGCACCUUCUGCUACUGCGCCGCAAUUUUCUCCUAUUGCUUUUGCUGCAACUCUCAAGCCCGCACCAUUUGAGGGCGUGAACUAUAAGAGGUGGCGUGAGAGGGCAGUUCUUUGGCUUACCACCAUGAACUGUUUUCACGCCUCUAAAGGCAAGCCAGAGGGAGAGCUGACUGCUGAGCAGGAGCAAGCUUUCCAGGCUACAGACACCCUCUUCAGAGGUGCUGUCUUGAGUGUUCUUGGCGACAAGAUUGUCGACCCAUUCAUGACCAUCAUGGUCGGUAAAGAUAUGUGGGAUGCGCUCGAAGCCAAGUUUGGAGUCGCGGACGCAGGAAGUGAGUUGUAUAUCAUGGAACAGUACCAUGAUUACAAGAUGACUGAUGACCGCUCCGUUGUUGAGCAGGCUCAUGAGAUUCAGUCGCUCACUAAAGAACUUGAGCAUCUCAAUUGUGUGUUACCGGACAAAUUCAUUGUCGGAGGCAUCAUUGCCAAGCUUCCUCCUUCAUGGAGGAAUUUUGCUACCUCUUUGAAGCAUAAGAGGCAAGAGUUUACUGUUGUCAAUCUAAUGGGCACUCUUGAUGUAGAAGAGAAGGCGAGGGUAAAAGACACACGUGCUCGUUCCAUGAGGGGAAUUCCAGUGCCAAUUUGGUACAAAGAGAAAUUUCCAUACCCACAAACCCAAGAACAAAAACUAUGCAAGAAAAGGAAAAUUUGA